RNAcentral lists this ribosomal RNA (119 nucleotides) under Pteropus alecto (black flying fox). Lineage: Eukaryota; Metazoa; Chordata; Mammalia; Chiroptera; Pteropodidae. The record is from RNAcentral.
AUCUACGGCCAUGCCAUCCUGAACAAGCCCGAUCCCAUCUGAUCUCAGAAGCUAAGUAGGGUCGGGCCUGUUUAAUACUUGGAUGGGAGAUCACCUAGGAAGACCAGGUGCUGUAGGCG